GACAGCAAAUUCGGAUUGAACAAAAUACAAAAUCUGUUGACAACGUCAAUCUUAACUUACUUUUCCAACCGUAAAGAAGUCUGUCUAAAGAUAUCAGCCAUGUCUCUUGUACGCCUACUAGCCAUCUUCGCCAUCUGCCUAGUUAUUUGCUCACUAAAUGUCGAAGCAAAUUCUAUUAGCAUCCCAAGUGCCUCUCGAGGUCAGCGUUCCGUCGACGAAGAAGCUUAUUUCAUGGACGAUGCCGAAGAAGGGCAAGAUGAAAUGGAAGAACGUCAAGUUGAAACAUCUGUUGAGGCAAAACGCAUCAACAAACUAUGGAAAAAGGCUAAUCCCAUCGCCUGGACCAUCAAACGACUUUAAUACAACAAUAAAGCAUAGAUUCAUUUUCAUCGUUGAUUACGUUCUUUUCAUUCCCGAUUUCAAUACAAUCGGUUAUUAAUACUGGCUUUCCCGAGUUUGUUUUAGAUAACUUGUGGUUUUGCGAUUAACAGUAACUUUGGUAAAGGAAACCAAAUAAAAUGGGCACCUCCCAAUAAAUUGGGGCUCCAAUAAUCUGAUGUAGAUAACUGAUACUUAUUGGAACAUCUGUAUAGCAUGUUGGGUAUUCACUAACAUGAUGGCUUCGUCUAAAGAUGUCUGUCGUUCCCUGCUGGUAUUUGUAGGAAUUUACUGUCUUGUUGCAUCAACAGAGCCGAUUGGUGAUGCCAUCGUUGCUGGGCCUAAUCUCAACUCUGUGCCUUCCCCAGAAGGAAAUCCAAUGGAGAAACGAUGGGUUAAAACAUUUUUUAAAGACCAUGGGACGUGGAGAUGGCUAGUAGAUAAAACAAUAGAAGGCGUUAAAAAUGCGAAAAGCAAAGGGCGAUAAGGAUAAAGACGAAGUUGUGGUUGCUGUUUUUGCAUCAUUCAUCUAUUGCAUUGUAUCAGAGAUUGUAUACAAAAACGAAAGCACAAGAAACGAUAUGGCAAUACACCUUAGCAAAAUAAUUCAAUAAAUCCAGCUCUGUUUUCAUUUUUUGUUUCAAUAUUUACGCUAUAUUAACAGACAACGCGUCCAUUGAAAACAAAAUAAAAUUUAGAUUACGGUAAAUCAUGCAAUAUUUUGCUCAAACUACUACGGGUAUGAUAUUCUUUGCUUAGGUUCUAGUAAAUUUUAAAUGAUUAUGUCGACUUACGAACCCCAGUUAAAAUGAAAAAACCAAUUCGAGUGAAGUUUAACGAUAAAGCGAUAAAAAAAGAGGAAGUGGUCGCUAUAUUGAAUUUUUUGUCGCUAUUGACUCAAACAGCAGAAAAAACGAAUACCAUAAUUCAUUCGUUGACAAAAUGUCGAUUUGGAAACUAGCUUGCUUUUUCGUCCUGGUCUUGUUUGUUAGUGAUUUUGUCACAUUUACAGAUGCUAGCCCAUCAUUACCUCGUCCAAUCGACCAAUCGGUUGAAGGAAUCAAUGGCUUUUCUUCAGAGAAGCCACUGGAGAAACGAUCUGUUCGUAGUCUGACGUCAUCAACUGGCAUGGAGAGAGACCAACGUUUGUUCUGGAAGGUGACAUGGUUGGUUAAAACCGUUAACGGUAUUUCCAACGCUGUGAAAAAGGGAUGAAGGGGUUGAAAUAAUAAAGAUUGGGGCAGAAAACUCUUCUGACGUCCACAAUCAAAUAGCAUUACGUCUGACAUUUCAUGACUAUAAAAAAAAAAAAACAAUAAACGAGCAAAAAUACAAGUGUUGUGUGUCA
This is an RNA transcript of Daphnia magna, 1726 nucleotides long. RefSeq lists it as uncharacterized. The transcript has 6 exons. The record is from RefSeq and is a predicted model, not a curated record. NCBI's taxonomy places the organism in Eukaryota, Metazoa, Arthropoda, Branchiopoda, Diplostraca, Daphniidae.